AGAGUUUGAUUCUGGCUCAGGACGAACGCUGGCGGCGUGCCUAAUACAUGCAAGUCGAACGAGUUUGCUUUUAAUGAAGGCGGUGCUUGCACCAACUGAUUUAAAAAUAAACGAGUGGCGGACGGGUGAGUAACACGUGGGUAACCUACCCUAAAGUGGGGGAUAACAUUUGGAAACAGAUGCUAAUACCGCAUAAUAUUAAAAACCACAUGGUUUUUAAUUGAAAGACGGCGUAAGCUGUCACUUUUGGAUGGACCCGCGGCGUAUUAGCUAGUUGGUGAGGUAACGGCUCACCAAGGCGAUGAUACGUAGCCGACCUGAGAGGGUGAUCGGCCACAUUGGGACUGAGACACGGCCCAA
This 360-nucleotide ribosomal RNA is filed under the name uncultured bacterium. RNAcentral describes it as "bacterial SSU rRNA". It matches the Rfam family "Bacterial small subunit ribosomal RNA", at positions 8 to 334 of the family's 1533-position model. The record is from RNAcentral.